This 1225-nucleotide ribosomal RNA is filed under the name Janthinobacterium lividum. RNAcentral describes it as "bacterial SSU rRNA". It matches the Rfam family "Bacterial small subunit ribosomal RNA", at positions 60 to 1286 of the family's 1533-position model. The record is from RNAcentral. Lineage: Bacteria; Pseudomonadati; Pseudomonadota; Betaproteobacteria; Burkholderiales; Oxalobacteraceae.
AGUCGAACGGCAGCACGGAGCUUGCUCUGGUGGCGAGUGGCGAACGGGUGAGUAAUAUAUCGGAACGUACCCUAGAGUGGGGGAUAACGUAGCGAAAGUUACGCUAAUACCGCAUACGAUCUAAGGAUGAAAGUGGGGGAUCGCAAGACCUCAUGCUCGUGGAGCGGCCGAUAUCUGAUUAGCUAGUUGGUAGGGUAAAAGCCUACCAAGGCAUCGAUCAGUAGCUGGUCUGAGAGGACGACCAGCCACACUGGAACUGAGACACGGUCCAGACUCCUACGGGAGGCAGCAGUGGGGAAUUUUGGACAAUGGGCGAAAGCCUGAUCCAGCAAUGCCGCGUGAGUGAAGAAGGCCUUCGGGUUGUAAAGCUCUUUUGUCAGGGAAGAAACGGUGAGAGCUAAUAUCUCUUGCUAAUGACGGUACCUGAAGAAUAAGCACCGGCUAACUACGUGCCAGCAGCCGCGGUAAUACGUAGGGUGCAAGCGUUAAUCGGAAUUACUGGGCGUAAAGCGUGCGCAGGCGGUUUUGUAAGUCUGAUGUGAAAUCCCCGGGCUCAACCUGGGAAUUGCAUUGGAGACUGCAAGGCUAGAAUCUGGCAGAGGGGGGUAGAAUUCCACGUGUAGCAGUGAAAUGCGUAGAUAUGUGGAGGAACACCGAUGGCGAAGGCAGCCCCCUGGGUCAAGAUUGACGCUCAUGCACGAAAGCGUGGGGAGCAAACAGGAUUAGAUACCCUGGUAGUCCACGCCCUAAACGAUGUCUACUAGUUGUCGGGUCUUAAUUGACUUGGUAACGCAGCUAACGCGUGAAGUAGACCGCCUGGGGAGUACGGUCGCAAGAUUAAAACUCAAAGGAAUUGACGGGGACCCGCACAAGCGGUGGAUGAUGUGGAUUAAUUCGAUGCAACGCGAAAAACCUUACCUACCCUUGACAUGGCUGGAAUCCUCGAGAGAUUGAGGAGUGCUCGAAAGAGAACCAGUACACAGGUGCUGCAUGGCUGUCGUCAGCUCGUGUCGUGAGAUGUUGGGUUAAGUCCCGCAACGAGCGCAACCCUUGUCAUUAGUUGCUACGAAAGGGCACUCUAAUGAGACUGCCGGUGACAAACCGGAGGAAGGUGGGGAUGACGUCAAGUCCUCAUGGCCCUUAUGGGUAGGGCUUCACACGUCAUACAAUGGUACAUACAGAGCGCCGCCAACCCGCGAGGGGGAGCUAAUCGCAGAAAGUGUAU